UCCGGGGCUGCACGCGCGCUACAAUGAAGGUAGCAAAGUGUGUGAAAACCAUGUCUGAAAAGACUUGGUAAUCACCAAUUAUUUUCGUGCUUGGGAUAGGGGAUUGCAAUUAUUUCCCUUGAACGAGGAAUUUCUAGUAAGUGUGAGUCAUAAGCUCACGUUGAUUACGUCCCUGCCCUUUGUACACACCGCCCGUCGCUACUACCGAUUGGAAGAUCCAGUGAAGAAUAUGGAUUCGAUCUGGAAUAGCUUUACCGCUAGUUCAGUUUUGGAAAAGUUUUCUAAACUGGUUCCUCUAGAGGAAGUAAAAGUCGUAACAAGGUUUCC
This 327-nucleotide ribosomal RNA is filed under the name Mesomermis flumenalis complex sp. W1. RNAcentral describes it as "bacterial SSU rRNA". It matches the Rfam family "Eukaryotic small subunit ribosomal RNA", at positions 1480 to 1804 of the family's 1831-position model. The record is from RNAcentral. Lineage: Eukaryota; Metazoa; Nematoda; Enoplea; Mermithida; Mermithidae.